RNAcentral lists this non-coding RNA (50 nucleotides) under marine eukaryotic metagenome. The record is from RNAcentral.
UGAGGAGGGAUUUGACUGAUUGCAACCUCAUUAAAAAUGCUAAAGCAGUU